CAGCAGCCGCGGUAAUACGGAGGGUGCAAGCGUUAAUCGGAAUUACUGGGCGCAAAGCGUGCGUAGGCGGUUCGUUAAGUCUGUUGUGAAAGCCCCGGGCUCAACCUGGGAAUGGCAAUGGAUACUGGCGAGCUAGAGUGUGUCAGAGGAUGGUGGAAUUCCCGGUGUAGCGGUGAAAUGCGUAGAGAUCGGGAGGAACAUCAGUGGCGAAGGCGGCCAUCUGGGACAACACUGACGCUGAGGCACGAAAGCGUGGGGAGCAAACAGGAUUAGAUACCCCAGUAGUCCCUGUCUCUUAUAC
This 301-nucleotide ribosomal RNA is filed under the name uncultured bacterium. Its description in RNAcentral is "partial 16S ribosomal RNA". It matches the Rfam family "Bacterial small subunit ribosomal RNA", at positions 509 to 807 of the family's 1533-position model. The record is from RNAcentral.